UUCGGUCGAAAGGAACGAAGCUGUAUUCGAUUUCUUCCCCUGUAGGUUCGAUUUUUUUUUCAUUUCAGACACUAAAACUUUGAUUUAUUAAAGUUUGGGUUGUGGGUUUUCAUUUUAAUUUCUAUGUAAUUCGAGAUUUGCUGUAUAUUUACAUAAAGAAAUUUAUCUGUUGUGAUUGAAUGUUUUUGCUUAGCUAUUGAAAAUUGAAGAUGAGUGGUGAUUAGAGUUUCAGACUAUGUUUUUUAGCUAGUGGGUUCUUCAAAUGAGGGUAUUUGAAGCUAUGGGUUUCAGUUGUUUUGGUGCAUUUGAUUCUUGUAAACAUAUUAACAUGUUUAAGAAAUAUUUGGGGUUCCCUUUUUGGGAAAAGUUGGUUGUUUCAAAAUGUUUAGUUUUGGCUCGUGUUUAGAAGUUGAAGGAUAUUUUUGGGUCAAUUCCAAAAUGGCCAAAUUGUAUUAUUUAGAGUCAUUGUUUGCAUCUUAGUGCUUCUAUAAAAUUGAAUCAUCUUUGAAAAGGAUAUUAUGGUAAGCCCUUUCAAGGUUAUUGAUUUGUCAUUUGAUAAAAAGCUAAACUCAAUCCGAAUUGAGCUACCUAAAAUUACAGUUUUGAUGUACUUGAAGCUCUUGGGGAUUUUUCAUAUUUCUUCAUUACUUUAACACUAUUUCACCAAUUGGGUUUCUACUAAAUUACUGUGAUUACUGUGACACUAUUUGUCAUAUUUCUUCGUUACUUUAACACUAUUUUUCAUAUUUCUUCGUUACUUUAACACUAUUUGGCCAAUUGGCUCUUGGGGAUUACAAUUUGUACUGCCUAGAUUUCUGUGAUUUCCUUUCCUGUAACCUAAUUCAACUUGUAACUUGCUGUAGAGGAAUUGAAAUCUUUUUGUAACCUAAUUGAAAUCUUCUUUGUUUACAGAGGAAUGUUUGUCAAUUUUUUGCUUGGUAUGAUCCUCCAAUGUGUGACAGAUCAAGAUAAAUAAUCCCGGAUUACUUCGAAAGAUUAACGGAAUGAAGCAAGAGAUGGAGAAAAGAAUAAAAUUUAUUACUGCACUUGUUUGUUCUUGGUUAUUGAUUUUAAUCAUGUUAUUGUAAGUGGAGUAAAUAUUGUCAUUUGGGUUGAUUAAAAUUCUACUAUAGUUUGUUGUAACCUUAUCCAAGAUGGAAUAAAUAUUGAUUGCAUAUACAAAUAAAUUUAUUGUUCAUGUAUCUGA
This 1207-nucleotide long non-coding RNA is filed under the name Panax ginseng (ginseng). RNAcentral's name for it is "long non-coding RNA (PGIN_LNC018686)". The record is from RNAcentral. Lineage: Eukaryota; Viridiplantae; Streptophyta; Magnoliopsida; Apiales; Araliaceae.